AUUGGACGCUGGCGGCAUGCCUUACACAUGCAAGUCGAACGGUAACAGGUCUUCGGAUGCUGACGAGUGGCGAACGGGUGAGUAAUACAUCGGAACGUGCCCGAUCGUGGGGGAUAACGAAGCGAAAGCUUUGCUAAUACCGCAUACGAUCUACGGAUGAAAGCGGGGGAUCUUCGGACCUCGCGCGGACGGAGCGGCCGAUGGCAGAUUAGGUAGUUGGUGGGAUAAAAGCUUACCAAGCCGACGAUCUGUAGCUGGUCUGAGAGGAUGAUCAGCCACACUGGGACUGAGACACGGCCCAGACUCCUACGGGAGGCAGCAGUGGGGAAUUUUGGACAAUGGGCGCAAGCCUGAUCCAGCCAUGCCGCGUGCAGGAUGAAGGCCUUCGGGUUGUAAACUGCUUUUGUACGGAACGAAAAGGUGCCUUCUAAUAAAGGGCGCUCAUGACGGUACCGUAAGAAUAAGCACCGGCUAACUACGUG
This 482-nucleotide ribosomal RNA is filed under the name uncultured bacterium. RNAcentral's name for it is "partial 16S ribosomal RNA". It matches the Rfam family "Bacterial small subunit ribosomal RNA", at positions 30 to 507 of the family's 1533-position model. The record is from RNAcentral.